This 647-nucleotide unclassified non-coding RNA is filed under the name Hevea brasiliensis (rubber tree). Lineage: Eukaryota; Viridiplantae; Streptophyta; Magnoliopsida; Malpighiales; Euphorbiaceae. The record is from RNAcentral.
GUCGCAAAGGUAAUUCCAAUAGAAUGGCCCUGGCACUGAUGUUAAAAGGAAUCAAUCCAAAUAGGGAAAAAUUUGGAGCAACCAAAGACCGCAUUGACAAUUACUCCUCGCUAAGAAUGUUCCUCCUUAACUUCAAUAUUCUUUUAACUCAGAAAAAUCUCCUUCCCUGGAUCAGGUGCUUGUUUUUACUACCUAGGUUUAUAUCUCCACACCCUCCUGUGCUCUCAUUAUCCAUCCCACUUCCACAACUGUAUCUGUCUGCUUCCACAAAUUCUCACUAUUUUGCUGCUGUUUCAUUUGUUUAUUUCACUUUUGGACUCCAGACUCACACUUGAUCAUCCAUGUUAACCACAACACUUCCCAUUAGCACAUGACUUGGUAAACUUCCGCACAUGAUGCCACCAUAGUUUACGGAGAUCAACUAUCCUCUUAUCGCUUCUUUUUGCUCUCCAUAACCUACCCAGAAUCCAUAUUUUGAAUAAUUUUGGGGCUCCUGCAAUCCACAUGUGCCUCUACUUAAAAGAACCCUCUUUCCAAUUCUUCAGCACAUUAGUAGAUCCAAAUCAAAGGGAAGGCGAACCCACUAGUAAUAAUUGGAGGUUAUAAUAACUAAUAUUGUCCAAAUUAAGCCGACCAAUAUCUACUCC